Molecule: ribosomal RNA, 421 nt
Filed under: uncultured marine eukaryote
Lineage: Eukaryota
Description: bacterial SSU rRNA
Rfam family: Eukaryotic small subunit ribosomal RNA
Source: RNAcentral
AAAUCUUACCGGGUCCGGACACACUGAGGAUUGACAGGCAAUAUUAAUACGUUUUGCUUCGGUAAUCGUAUUAUGUUAAAUAUGCUAGUCCUUUCAUGAUUAUGUGAUAGGUGGUGCAUGGCCGUUCUUAGUUCGUGGAGUGAUCUGUCUGCUUAAUUGCGUUUCACUAAGGGCCUAUAAAUUUACGUGUGUUGCAUCGCACUUUGACCCCUUUCUUUAAUUAGAGAGCGCGUGUCUUAGUUUUCGCUUUGCUCAUACAAUUAGGUCCUGAAAGCAACGAACGUGACCGCAACCUCUUGUUGCCUUUAUACCAAACAUGUUUUGCGUCAAUUUUCGAAUUGCGCGCAUUUCAUGAAAAAAGGCUUUUUAAACUAGAGGGACCGCUGUUACUUCUUAAACCGGAGGAAGGUUGCGGCAAUAA